CAACUACUGAAGCCCAUGUACCUAGAGCCUGUGCUCUGCAGCAAGUGAAGCCACCUCAACGAGAAGCCCACGCACCGCAACAAAAAGUAGCCCCUGCUCACCACAACUAGAGAAAGCCCGCAUGCAGCAACGAAGACCCAACACAGCCAAAAAAAUAAAUACAUUUAUUUUUAAAAAACUCAAAUGGAUAGAGAAAACCUGGACCUACAGAAACAAUUUUAAAAUGGAUUCUUAUUUUUGAUCAGAUACUAACAUUUAUAGAAAAUAUCUUUAAUAAUACAUAAACCAAACUGAAUUAAGAUAAUAUUUUGCUUACCCUCUCCUCAUAAUGUUAAUUAGGAUACACACAUCAGAAGUAUAAAAUAGCCUUUGAGACCAAUUUUUAAAUUUUUCAUUUUUAAACACAAGUUCUUCCCUAUUUGAAAGCAGUGAAGAAACAAAAGAAAUAUUCAGUUGUUGGGGUAACUGACUCUCCAUUUGGAAAAAAAAGUCACCUGCAUUUGGGUUGGUUCAAAUUGAGGGAUAAAGACCAUUCAUGCAUACUGUAAAAUGUUAAUGUAAAAUAUCAAGCCAAGGAUAGUUACCUGUAUCAGAGCAGAAGCAGUUUCAAUGUAUUUCAACAACUCUUUCUUUGGUUUCUAGAUCCUUACAUGGGAAUUCAAAUGCUGGUGAUUUUUAUGUGUCAGGUAAGAGCUCAGUGGAUGUGAAAGUUCUCUUCUUCCUAUACCACAGCUGUUUCAUAUUCAGGCCUUUCAAAUAUUUAUAGAACUCAAAUUUCCUUUUCUGUGAAUAGCCCAUUCAUGUAUUUUGUCUAUUUUCUCUACUGGGACUUCCAAAAAAUGUUUUUAUUUAGAAAUAAUUAUAGAUUUAUAGAAGUUGAAGAAAUAAUAACCUAGACUACUCUGUGUACUCUAUAUCCACUUUCCCCUAAUGGUAAUGUCUUAUGUAAUUAUAUAUCGCAUUUGACACUAGUGUGAUUCACAGGCCUUAUCAGAUUUCACUGAUUUUACAUGCACUUCUGUAUGUGUAUCUCUAGUUCUAUACCAUUUUAUCUAGUGUAAAUUUAUGUAACUACCACCACAAUCAAGAUAUAGAACUUGAAACACCACAAAGAUCCCUUGUUCUAUCCCUUUGUAGUCACAACCAUCCUUUCCUCCCCCUGUUCCCCACUCCUAAUCCCUGCCAACCAUUAAUCUCCAUAAUUUCUUCAUAUAGGAGUGCUCUAUAAAUGUAAUCACUAUAUAACCUUUUAAGAUUGGCUUUUUUCACUCAACAUAAUUCUCCUGAGAUCAAUUCCACUUGUUGCAGGUACAAUAAUUUGUUCUUUUUUGGGUAAUUUCUGAGUAGUUUUUUAUGGUAUUGAUAUACCAUGGUUUCUCUAAACAUUCAGCCAUUGAAAGACAUUUGAAUUGUUUCCAAUUUGGGGUUAUUACAAAUCUGCUGUGAACAUUCUCUGCCACUUUGUUGUUUUGUUCUGUUUUUUUGUUCCUCUGUUUCACUUUUCAUGUCUUACUGUGGGUUAUUUGGGCAUUUUUUUAGAAUUCUACUUUGACUUAUCUAUAGAGUUCUUAAGUACAUUUCUUUGUAUAAUUUUUUAGUAGCUGCCCUAGGUAUUACAUUAUACAUAUGUAACUCAUCACAGUCUACUUUUGUUAACAUUGAGCCAGUUCAAAACCUUAUCUCAACUGAGCUCCUUUAAUUUACCCCCACUUUAUUGCAUAGUUAUCUUAAAUAUUUCCUCUAUGUACCUUAAGAACUACAUGAGAUAAUGUAGCCAUUUUUGAUUCAACCAUCUAACAUAAUUUUGGAAACUCAACAGGAGAAAGAUAAUUUAUUAAAUGUACCCAUAUUUUUACUUUAUGUUUUUUCCUCACUCCUGAUGUUCCACAUUUCCUUCAUUUCUCUUCUGCUUGAAGAACUUCCUUAUAAUAGAUCUCCUGACAGAUUCUUAGUUUUCCUUCAUCUGAGCAUGUCUUCAUUUCACCUUCACUCAUGAAGAAUAUUUUUUGCUGGUAUAGAGUUCUGGAUUGACAGUUCUUUCAGCACUUGAAAAAUGUGCUACUUCCUUCUGGCCGUCAUGUUUUCUGAUCAGAAAUCUGUCAUCUAAAUCAUUGUUCCUCUGCAGGUAAUGUAUAAUUACUCAUGCUGCUUUCAUUUUUUUCUCGUUUUUAGUUUUCUGAAUUUUUAUUAUGAUGUUUCUUGGCAUGGAUUUCUUUGGGUUUAUCCUGUUUGGGGUUUGCUUAGUUUCUUGAAUCUGUAGGCUUAUGUUUAUUGACAAAAUUGAGGAAUUUUCUGCCAUUUCUUUGAAUGCCUUUUCAGCCUGACUUUCCCCUUUCCUUCUAGGAUUCAGCAUAUUUUCCCUCUCUGUUGUUCAUAUUGGGUAAUUUCUCUUGUUCUAUAAGUUCAUUGAUACUUUCCUCUCUCCCCUCCAUUCUGUUCUUGAGUACAUCCAUUGAGUCUUUUACUUUGGCUACUGUAUUUUUCAGUUAAAAAUAUUCCAUUUUGGGGACUUCCCUGGUGGUGCAGUGGUUAAGAAUCCAACUGCCAAUGCAGGGGACACAGGUUCGAUCCCUGGUCCGGGAAGAUUCCACAUGCCACAGAGCAACUAAGCCUGUGCGCCACAACUACUGAGCCUGCGCUCUAGAGCCCAUGAGCCACAACUAUUGAGCCCAUGUGCACCACAACUACUGAAGCCCGUGUGCCCUACAGCCCAUACAGCACAACAAGCCACCACAGUGAGAAGCUUACGCACCACAAUGAAGGGUAGCCCCUGCUCGCCGCAACUAGAGAAAGCCCGAGUGCAGCAACAAAGACCCAACAGAGCCCCCCCCAAAAAUCCAUUUUUUUAUAUUCUCCCUUUCUUUGCUAAGAUUUUCUAUUUUUUAUUUGUUUCAAAUGUGUACAUAAUUUGUUCAUUGAAGCAUUUCUAUGAUUGCUGUUUUAAAUUUCUAGUCAGAUUAAAUUAUCUUGGUGUU
RNAcentral lists this long non-coding RNA (2975 nucleotides) under Phocoena sinus (vaquita). RNAcentral's name for it is "lncRNA (ENSPSNG00000020908.1)". The record is from RNAcentral. Lineage: Eukaryota; Metazoa; Chordata; Mammalia; Artiodactyla; Phocoenidae.